AUAUCAAUAAGCGGGGGAAAAGAAACCAACAGGGAUUGCCCCAGUAACGGCGAGUGAAGCGGCAAGAGCUCAAAUUUGAAAGCUGGCUCCUUCGGGGUCCGCAUUGUAAUUUGCAGAGGAUGCUUCGGGAGCGGUCCCCAUCUAAGUGCCCUGGAACGGGACGUCAUAGAGGGUGAGAAUCCCGUAUGGGAUGGGGUGUCCGCGCCCGUGUGAAGCUCCUUCGACGAGUCGAGUUGUUUGGGAAUGCAGCUCUAAAUGGGUGGUAAAUUUCAUCUAAAGCUAAAUAUUGGCCGGAGACCGAUAGCGCACAAGUAGAGUGAUCGAAAGAUGAAAAGCACUUUGAAAAGAGAGUUAAAAAGCAUGUGAAAUUGUUGAAAGGGAAGCGCUUGCGACCAGACUCGCUCGCGGGGUUCAGCCGGCAUUCGUGCCGGUGUACUUCCCCGCGGGCGGGCCAGCGUCGGUUUGGGUGGUCGGUCAAAGGCGCCGGGAAUGUAUCCACUCCUUCGGGGGUGGACUUAUAGCCCGGCGUGUCAUGCGGCCUCCCGGGACUGAGGAACGCGCUUCGGCGAGGAUGAUGGCGUAAUGGUUGUCAGCGA
RNAcentral lists this ribosomal RNA (596 nucleotides) under uncultured fungus. Its description in RNAcentral is "eukaryotic LSU rRNA". It matches the Rfam family "Eukaryotic large subunit ribosomal RNA", at positions 40 to 647 of the family's 3401-position model. The record is from RNAcentral. Lineage: Eukaryota; Fungi.